CACACACACAAACGCGCAUUUUUACAUCAAGCUAAGCUAAUUGAUUAAACUUAAUAUAAAGAAAUAGUUUAAAUAUGAAAAUGCAAAAAAGCAAACAAAAAACAAAACAAAAAUCACAAUAAAUAAUAUACAAUGUAAAAUAUAUACACAUUGAAAUUCAUAAAUGUCAACCGAAAACGAAAUAAACAUCCAAAAUCUAAAGCUAGUUAAAAUUAAUAUUAUAAAUCGUGCAAAAAUUUAAAAAAGACAAUUUUAAUGUUUGAAAUAUAAAAAAGAAAUGGAAAAAUAUCCACGAUUUGUUUGAACUUUCCAUGGGCUGAAGCAACAUGAACGACCGAUAGCGCCUGUGGCCUGCACCCAACUCAUCGAGCAUUUCCAAGAGCUCUUUCCUAUCUUAUCGCAACUCGGAUGUAGAGUGCAGUUUUCUCUCCUCUUUUUUUGAUAAACUUAUCAGAGUGUACUCGUAAAUUGCAACGAAACAACAAGCUCCUUCAUGCCAGACAUGCGCGCUACAAAGACGUUCACAUUCGAUGGCUUCUGGCCAGGGGCAAGGGUUUGUUGAGCUGUGGUGCUUCAGCCUGUCAGACUGGAGCUAUCUAUUCAUAAAUGCUAACGCCAACGUCAAAGCUGCUUCGCCUGGGCACGCGAUCAAUAUGUAAUUAUUUUCGAAUAUGACGGACGAGUCCCUGGAUUCGGGUUUGCAUAUAAAAUUCUAUUAAAAAGUUUGAACGUUUGACUUGGAGUGGGGCCGAGCACCACCAGCAUAAAAAAACGGCUGUCACAAUAGAAUUAC
Long non-coding RNA from Drosophila hydei, 793 nucleotides. RefSeq lists it as uncharacterized. The transcript is spliced from 3 exons. The record is from RefSeq and is a predicted model, not a curated record. NCBI's taxonomy places the organism in Eukaryota, Metazoa, Arthropoda, Insecta, Diptera, Drosophilidae.